UCCCUGGUGGUCUAGGGAAGACUUUGCACUCUCGAUGCAGGAGCCUAGGUUUGAUCCCCAGGGAA
This 65-nucleotide transfer RNA is filed under the name Ovis aries (sheep). It matches the Rfam family "tRNA". From Rfam's summary of the family: Transfer RNA (tRNA) molecules are approximately 80 nucleotides in length. Their secondary structure includes four short double-helical elements and three loops (D, anti-codon, and T loops). Lineage: Eukaryota; Metazoa; Chordata; Mammalia; Artiodactyla; Bovidae. The record is from Rfam by way of RNAcentral.